GAUGAACGCUGGCGGCGUGCUUAACACAUGCAAGUCGAACGGUGAAGGCGGAGCUUGCUCUGCUGGAUCAGUGGCGAACGGGUGAGUAACACGUGAGCAAUCUGCCCCUGACUCUGGGAUAAGCGCUGGAAACGGCGUCUAAUACUGGAUACGAGCUGCGAAGGCAUCUUCAGCAGCUGGAAAGAAUUUCGGUCAGGGAUGAGCUCGCGGCCUAUCAGCUUGUUGGUGAGGUAAUGGCUCACCAAGGCGUCGACGGGUAGCCGGCCUGAGAGGGUGACCGGCCACACUGGGACUGAGACACGGCCCAGACGCCUACGGGAGGAAGCAGUGGGGAAUAUUGCACAAUGGGCGAAAGCCUGAUGCAGCAACGCCGCGUGAGGGACGACGGCCUUCGGGUGGUAAACCUCUUUUAGCAGGGAAGAAGCGAAAGUGACGGUACCUGCAGAAAAAGCGCCGGCUAACUACGU
Molecule: ribosomal RNA, 467 nt
Filed under: uncultured bacterium
Lineage: Bacteria
Description: partial 16S ribosomal RNA
Rfam family: Bacterial small subunit ribosomal RNA
Source: RNAcentral